CAGUCGCCGCGGUAAUACGGAGGGGGCUAGCGUUGUUCGGAAUUACUGGGCGUAAAGCGCACGUAGGCGGCUUUGUAAGUCAGAGGUGGAAGCCCGGGGCUCAACCCCGGAAUUGCCUUUGAGACUGCAUCGCUUGAAUCCAGGAGAGGUGAGUGGAAUUCCGAGUGUAGAGGUGAAAUUCGUAGAUAUUCGGAAGAACACCAGUGGCGAAGGCGGCUCACUGGACUGGUAUUGACGCUGAGGUGCGAAAGCGUGGGGAGCAAACAGGAUUAGAUACCCGGGUAGUCCCUGUCUCUUAUAA
RNAcentral lists this ribosomal RNA (301 nucleotides) under uncultured bacterium. RNAcentral describes it as "partial 16S ribosomal RNA". It matches the Rfam family "Bacterial small subunit ribosomal RNA", at positions 509 to 809 of the family's 1533-position model. The record is from RNAcentral.